AAGUCGUAACAAGGUUUCCGUAGGUGAACCUGCGGAAGGAUCAUUAACACUCUUAUGAAAUUUAACAACCUUCAUAUACCAUGCCACGCGAACUGUUGCAUCCCUCUCCCCCAAUCCCUAGCGCGAACGGCGGCAGUCAUGGCGGAGGCCUUAAUGAGUACUUUAUUCAUUAACGCUUUCGGCUGUACGACGACAGUCUAGGUCAGGGCGAGGCAGGUCGUGCGCUUCGUCACCCCCAUUGGCGAAGUUGCUAUUAUAACAUUAUCAUUUCUUUACCCCUGCUAUUAUGAACUGACUGUUGAAUGGACUAUAUCGUAUUGCACUUCUUAAAGGAGUGUCAGUAUGGUAUGGCUCAUCGAUAUUCGUUAUCGAAUCAACAAUGGAAAACACAACUCUUACCAGCGGAUAUCUCGGUUCCC
RNAcentral lists this unclassified non-coding RNA (419 nucleotides) under fungal sp. RNAcentral describes it as "partial internal transcribed spacer region". The stretch from base 1 to 46 matches the Rfam family "Eukaryotic small subunit ribosomal RNA", at positions 1786 to 1831 of the family's 1831-position model. The record is from RNAcentral. Lineage: Eukaryota; Fungi.